ACCGUCGACAGUCAGGUAACGAGCGAGACCCCUGCGUCUAGUUGCUACCAUUACUCUCUGGAGCAGUGGAGCGAAUUAGACGGACCGCCACAGUUAAUGUGGAGGAAGGAAGGGGCCACGGCAGGUCAGUAUGCCCCGAAACCCUAGGGCUACACGCGGGCUGCAAUGGUAUUGACAAUGUGUUCCGAAUCCGAAAGGAGGAGGCAAUCAUCAAACAAUAUCUCAGUUAUGACUGAGGGCUGUAACUCGCCCUCACGAAUAUGGAAUCCCUAGUAACCGCGCGUCACUACCGCGCGGUGAAUGCGUCCCUGCUCCUUGCACGAAUUCGCCG
Molecule: ribosomal RNA, 331 nt
Filed under: uncultured archaeon
Lineage: Archaea
Description: bacterial SSU rRNA
Rfam family: Archaeal small subunit ribosomal RNA
Source: RNAcentral